CACUCUAAGUUGACUGCCGGUGACAAACCGGAGGAAGGUGGGGAUGACGUCAAAUCAUCAUGCCCCUUAUGAUUUGGGCUACACACGUGCUACAAUGGACAAUACAAAGGGCAGCGAAACCGCGAGGUCAAGCAAAUCCCAUAAAGUUGUUCUCAGUUCGGAUUGUAGUCUGCAACUCGACUACAUGAAGCUGGAAUCGCUAGUAAUCGUAGAUCAGCAUGCUACGGUGAAUACGUUCCCGGGUCUUGUACACACCGCCCGUCACACCACGAGAGUUUGUAACACCCGAAGCCGGUGGAGUAACCUUUUAGGAGCUAGCCGUCGAAGGUGGGACAAAUGAUUGGGGUGAAGUCGUAACAAGGUAGCCGUAUCGGAAGGUGCGGCUGGAUCACCUCCUUU
Molecule: ribosomal RNA, 399 nt
Filed under: Staphylococcus aureus
Lineage: Bacteria; Bacillati; Bacillota; Bacilli; Caryophanales; Staphylococcaceae
Description: bacterial SSU rRNA
Rfam family: Bacterial small subunit ribosomal RNA
Source: RNAcentral